ACACACGUGUUACAAUGGCAGGUACAGCGGGAAGCCACCUGGCGACAGGAGCGGAACCCGAAAGCCUGUCCCAGUUCGGAUUGGAGUCUGCAACCCGACUCCACGAAGUUGGAUUCGCUAGUAAUCGCGCAUCAGCCAUGGCGCGGUGAAUACGUUCCCGGGCCUUGUACACACCGCCCGUCAAGCCAUGGGAGCCGGGGGCGCCUGAAGUCCGGGACCGCGAGGACCGGCCUAGGGCGAAACUGGUAACUGGGGCUAAGUCGUAACAAGGUACC
This 275-nucleotide ribosomal RNA is filed under the name uncultured bacterium. Its description in RNAcentral is "partial 16S ribosomal RNA". It matches the Rfam family "Bacterial small subunit ribosomal RNA", at positions 1216 to 1500 of the family's 1533-position model. The record is from RNAcentral.